AUUGAACGCUGGCGGCAGGCUUAACACAUGCAAGUCGAGCGGAGAGAGGUAGCUUGCUACUGAUCUUAGCGGCGGACGGGUGAGUAAUGCUUAGGAAUCUGCCUAUUAGUGGGGGACAACAUUUCGAAAGGAAUGCUAAUACCGCAUACGUCCUACGGGAGAAAGCAGGGGAUCUUCGGACCUUGCGCUAAUAGAUGAGCCUAAGUCGGAUUAGCUAGUUGGUGGGGUAAAGGCCUACCAAGGCGACGAUCUGUAGCGGGUCUGAGAGGAUGAUCCGCCACACUGGGACUGAGACACGGCCCAGACUCCUACGGGAGGCAGCAGUGGGGAAUAUUGGACAAUGGGCGCAAGCCUGAUCCAGCCAUGCCGCGUGUGUGAAGAAGGCCUUAUGGUUGUAAAGCACUUUAAGCGAGGAGGAGGCUACUUUAGUUAAUACCUAGAGAUAGUGGACGUUACUCGCAGAAUAAGCACCGGCUAACUCUGUGCCAGCAGCCGCGGUAAUACAGAGGGUGCAAGCGCUAAUCGGAUUUACUGGGCGUAAAGCGCGCGUAGGCGGCUAAUUAAGUCAAAUGUGAAAUCCCCGAGCUUAACUUGGGAAUUGCAUUCGAUACUGGUUAGCUAGAGUGUGGGAGAGGAUGGUAGAAUUCCAGGUGUAGCGGUGAAAUGCGUAGAGAUCUGGAGGAAUACCGAUGGCGAAGGCAGCCAUCUGGCCUAACACUGACGCUGAGGUGCGAAAGCAUGGGGAGCAAACAGGAUUAGAUACCCUGGUAGUCCAUGCCGUAAACGAUGUCUACUAGCCGUUGGGGACUUUGAGGCUUUAGUGGCGCAGCUAACGCGAUAAGUAGACCGCCUGGGGAGUACGGUCGCAAGACUAAAACUCAAAUGAAUUGACGGGGGCCCGCACAAGCGGUGGAGCAUGUGGUUUAAUUCGAUGCAACGCGAAGAACCUUACCUGGCCUUGACAUAGUAAGAACUUUCCAGAGAUGGAUUGGUGCCUUCGGGAACUUACAUACAGGUGCUGCAUGGCUGUCGUCAGCUCGUGUCGUGAGAUGUUGGGUUAAGUCCCGCAACGAGCGCAACCCUUUUCCUUAUUUGCCAGCGAGUAAUGUCGGGAACUUUAAGGAUACUGCCAGUGACAAACUGGAGGAAGGCGGGGACGACGUCAAGUCAUCAUGGCCCUUACGGCCAGGGCUACACACGUGCUACAAUGGUCGGUACAAAGGGUUGCUACCUAGCGAUAGGAUGCUAAUCUCAAAAAGCCGAUCGUAGUCCGGAUUGGAGUCUGCAACUCGACUCCAUGAAGUCGGAAUCGCUAGUAAUCGCGGAUCAGAAUGCCGCGGUGAAUACGUUCCCGGGCCU
RNAcentral lists this ribosomal RNA (1359 nucleotides) under uncultured bacterium. RNAcentral describes it as "bacterial SSU rRNA". It matches the Rfam family "Bacterial small subunit ribosomal RNA", at positions 28 to 1381 of the family's 1533-position model. The record is from RNAcentral.